CUGAAUAACUUAGUCGAUCGCAUGGUCUUUGCACCGGCGACGCAUCUUUCAAGUGUCUGCCUUAUCAACUUUCGAUGGUAGUUUAUGCGCCUACCAUGGUUGUAACGGGUAACGGAGAAUCAGGGUUUGAUUCCGGAGAGGGAGCCUGAGAAAUGGCUACCACAUCCAAGGAAGGCAGCAGGCACGCAAAUUACCCACUCCCGGCACGGGGAGGUAGUGACGAAAAAUAACGAGAUAGUCCUCGAUGAGGCCUAUCAUCGGAAUGGGUAAAAUUUAAAUCCUUUAACGAGGAUCUAUUGGAGGGCAAGUCUGGUGCCAGCAGCCGCGGUAAUUCCAGCUCCAAUAGCGUAUAUUAAAGUUGUUGCGGUUAAAAAG
RNAcentral lists this ribosomal RNA (375 nucleotides) under Nematoda sp. Its description in RNAcentral is "SSU rRNA". It matches the Rfam family "Eukaryotic small subunit ribosomal RNA", at positions 252 to 626 of the family's 1831-position model. The record is from RNAcentral. Lineage: Eukaryota; Metazoa; Nematoda.